GAUGAACGCUGGCGGCGUGCCUAAUACAUGCAAGUCGAGCGAACGGACGAGAAGCUUGCUUCUCUGAUGUUAGCGGCGGACGGGUGAGUAACACGUGGAUAACCUACCUAUAAGACUGGGAUAACUUCGGGAAACCGUAGCUAAUACCGGAUAAUAUUUUGAACCGCAUGGUUCAAAAGUGAAAGACGGUCUUGCUGUCACUUAUAGAUGGAUCCGCGCUGCAUUAGCUAGUUGGUAAGGUAACGGCUUACCAAGGCAACGAUGCAUAGCCGACCUGAGAGGGUGGUCGGCCACACUGGAACUGAGACACGGUCCAGACUCCUACGGGAGGCAGCAGUAGGGAAUCUUACGCAAUGGGCGAAAGCCUGACGGAGCAACGCCGCGUGAGUGAUGAAGGUCUUCGGAGCGUAAAACUCUGUUAUUAGGGAAGAACAUAUGUGUAAGUAGCUGUGCACAUCUUGACGGUACCUAGUCAGAAAGCAACGGCUAACUACGUG
Molecule: ribosomal RNA, 497 nt
Filed under: uncultured bacterium
Lineage: Bacteria
Description: partial 16S ribosomal RNA
Rfam family: Bacterial small subunit ribosomal RNA
Source: RNAcentral